GACGAACCGUGCGAACGUUAUUCGGAAUCACUGGGCUUAAAGCGCGUGUAGGCGGAAGGGCACGUCCGUUGCUGAAAUCCCCCGGCUCAACCGGGGAACGGGCACGGAUACGACUCUUCUGGAGGAACGUAGGGGGACCUGGAACUUCCGGUGGAGCGGUGAAAUGCGUUGAGAUCGGAAGGAACACCAAUGGCGAAGGCAGCUUGCUGGGACGGUACUGACGCUGAGGCGCGAAAGCGUGGGGAGCAAGCAGG
This 254-nucleotide ribosomal RNA is filed under the name uncultured bacterium. RNAcentral describes it as "partial 16S ribosomal RNA". It matches the Rfam family "Bacterial small subunit ribosomal RNA", at positions 524 to 776 of the family's 1533-position model. The record is from RNAcentral.